GAUGAAGAACGUAGUGAAAUGCGAUAAGUAAUGUGAAUUGCAGAAUUCAGUGAAUCAUCGAAUCUUUGAACGCGCAUUGCGUCCGCCAGCAUUCUGGCGGGCAUGCCUGUUCGAGCGUCAUUUCAACCCUCAAGCUCUGCUUGGUGUUGGGGCCCUACGGUUGACGUAGGCCCUUAAAGGUAGUGGCGGACCCUCUCGGAGCCUCCUUUGCGUAGUAACUAACGUCUCGCAUUGGGAUUCGGAGGGACUCUUGCCGUAAAACCCCCAAAUUUUCUAAUGGUUGACCUCGGAUCAGGUAGGAAUACCCGCUGAACUUAAGCAUAUCAAUAAGCGGAGG
Molecule: unclassified non-coding RNA, 337 nt
Filed under: soil metagenome
Description: partial contains 5.8S ribosomal RNA, internal transcribed spacer 2, and large subunit ribosomal RNA
Rfam family: 5.8S ribosomal RNA (bases 1-120)
Source: RNAcentral